Molecule: ribosomal RNA, 305 nt
Filed under: uncultured bacterium
Lineage: Bacteria
Description: bacterial SSU rRNA
Rfam family: Bacterial small subunit ribosomal RNA
Source: RNAcentral
CCUACGGGAGGCAGCAGUGGGGAAUUUUGGACAAUGGGCGCAAGCCUGAUCCAGCUAUUCCGCGUGUGGGAUGAAGGCCCUCGGGUUGUAAACCACUUUUGUAGAGAACGAAAAGACACCUUCGAAUAAAGGGUGUUGCUGACGGUACUCUAAGAAUAAGCACCGGCUAACUACGUGCCAGCAGCCGCGGUAAUACGUAGGGUGCGAGCGUUAAUCGGAAUUACUGGGUUUAAAGGGUGCGCAGGCGGGAGAUCAAGUCAGCGGUAAAAUGUCGGGGCUCAACCCCGGCCGGCCGUUGAAACUGG